Molecule: non-coding RNA, 95 nt
Organism: Collybiopsis luxurians FD-317 M1
Lineage: Eukaryota; Fungi; Basidiomycota; Agaricomycetes; Agaricales; Omphalotaceae
Source: the annotation of a GenBank genome assembly
GGCCUGAUGGUCUAGGAGUAUGAUUCGUUGUUAGGGUGGUGCCAGACAUGGAAUAUCUUUCGACGAGGUCCCGGGUUCAAUUCCCGGUCAGGCCC